Molecule: ribosomal RNA, 497 nt
Filed under: uncultured bacterium
Lineage: Bacteria
Description: partial 16S ribosomal RNA
Rfam family: Bacterial small subunit ribosomal RNA
Source: RNAcentral
GAUGAACGCUGGCGGCGUGCCUAAUACAUGCAAGUCGAGCGAACGGACGAAAUUGUUGUCCCUCUGAUGUUAGCAGCUGAUGAGUGAGUAACAGGCGGAUAACUAACCCAUAAGUCAGCGGCAACGUCGGGAAAGCGGAGCGAAUGCCACGGAUUCUUAUGAACCGCAUGGGUCAAGAAUGAAAUGCGGCCUUGCGGACAACUAUAGAGGGAUCCGCGCUGCCCUAGCUAGAUGGGAAGGUAGCGGCUUACCAAGGCGACGAUGCAGAGCCGACCUGAGCGGGUGGACGGCCAGCCUGGAAGUGAGACACGGCCCAGACUCCUGCGGGGGGCCGCGGCAGGGAAUCUUCCGCGAUGGAGGAGAGCCUAACGGAGCAACGCCGCGUGAGUGAUGAUGGUGCUCGGAUCGUAGAGCUCUGUUAUUAGGGGAGAUCAUAUGUGUAAGUAACUGUGCACAUCUUGACGGUACCUGAUCAGAAAGCCCCGGCUAACUACGUG